Molecule: long non-coding RNA, 987 nt
Filed under: Cercocebus atys (sooty mangabey)
Lineage: Eukaryota; Metazoa; Chordata; Mammalia; Primates; Cercopithecidae
Description: lncRNA (ENSCATG00000045841.1)
Source: RNAcentral
AGUUUCCCAGCUGGAGUUCUCUGGGCCCAGUUGCCUGUGACAUGGGGUUGGGGGUGCUCCAGAAAGUCAUGGCCACCCCUGGAGGAAGUGACUUGUGGCUGACUGCUCAAGGGGAAGUCCUGUGGCGGUGGAGUCGUCAGCAUUCAUUCAAAUAAGGUAAGUGCUUCGGCAGGGAUGAGGGAGGGGCUGAAAGGCUGGGGGUGACUGCGAUGACCUCAAGCUUGAACUGAAACCUCUGGAAGGGCAUUGUAUUCGAACUGUUUAGAUGAUUGCACGGAAUCAUCUCAUUUUUACAUCAGCAGAAGCCUAGGCUCAGAGAGGUGAAGUGAUUUUGUCUGAGGUCACACAGCACGGUAGUGAUUGGGCUGGGUCUGAGGGCCUCUCUGGGGGUGCAUCUGAGGUCUCUGUGCCUCAGGGGAGCGGGAGGAGUGGAGACUGGGGCUGUGGCCAGGCUCUUCCUAGCCUUCCUAGGUGUCUAUCUGCUCUUCAGUGUCAUCUCCACUUUCCUUUCCCUCUGUUUCUUCCUCCUCUGCCUACAACACUCUUAGUUUGUUCUAAAUGCCCCCUUGUCAGAGCUGAGGAACUUGAGGUGACAUGCUGAAGACCCUGGCUGAGGAUCCUGGUUUGACGCAUUUUUCUUGGAACCCUUGGAUGUUCCUGGGGUCCCCAGCGGGAGUUCUGCCUCAUGCCACACGUGGGUUCAGUCCUGCGGAGCCUGGACUCUGGGUUAAGAGAGGACCAUCUGCUACCGGCCCCAGCCCAGAUGAUACAGUUAGAGCCUACCCACAGCAUCCUCCCGCCUUCAGACAGUUCCAGGAACAGGGUGAGUCACGCCCAGCUGAACUCCCAUCUCGCUCACCCGAGAGCUGGACCGGGCGCCGGCAGAGGGGGCCACGCAAGCUCCGUGGAGCAGGUGCACUCUGCCACCUCCCAGAGAUGGGAAGGAGACCCUCGCCCUCUGCCCCAACUGUGCCCAGCACCCUCUGA